RNAcentral lists this ribosomal RNA (217 nucleotides) under uncultured fungus. RNAcentral describes it as "partial small subunit ribosomal RNA". The stretch from base 50 to 217 matches the Rfam family "Eukaryotic small subunit ribosomal RNA", at positions 694 to 864 of the family's 1831-position model. The record is from RNAcentral. Lineage: Eukaryota; Fungi.
GGCCCGGCGAGGUGGUCUCACCUAGUGUGAGUACUGCUUUUCCGCUGGGUCUUUUCUUUUGGGGAACCAAUGUGCUCUUAAUUGGGUGCGUUGGGGAUCCAAAACUUUUACUGUGAAAAAAUUAGAGUGUUUAAAGCAGGCCUACGCUUGAAUACAUUAGCAUGGAAUAAUGGAAUAGGACUUUGGUUCUAUUUUGUUGGUUUCUAGGACUAAAGUA